UGUCCCACACAAAUUUCCUGUCUCUCAGCUGGAGAGGUAUGGAUUUGACAGAUGGACAGCUGGGCAGAGAAACCAUGCCAUUUUUGGGCCAAGACUGGAGAUCCCCUGGAUGGAGAUGGGUUAAAACAGAAGAUGGAUGGAAAAGAUGUGAACCCUUUAGUCCUGCGCUUGAGGAUGGGAAUAAUCAGCUGAAUGAUAUCAGCCACACUGUUAUCAUAACUGGGGAUGAUGAGAAUGAAGAAGUGUACAAUACUGAAGACUGUGAGUUUGCAGCCAAGAAAAGGAAAAAAGAUCAUUUUAGGAAUAACACAGAUUCACAAUGUUUUUAUCGUGAAAAGUGGAUUUAUGUUCAUAAAGAAAGCACCAAGGAAAGACAUGGCUAUUGCACCUUGGGAGAAGCCUUUAACCGCUUAGACUUUUCAAGUGCGAUUCAGGACAUCAGGAGGUUCAAUUAUGUGGUCAAACUUUUGCAGUUAAUUGCAAAAUCCCAGUUAACUUCACUGAGUGGUGCAGCACAGAAGAACUACUUUAACAUUUUGGACAAAAUUGUGCAGAAGGUUAUGGAAGACCAGUAUAAUCCACGGUUGAUCAAAGAUCUUCUGCAGGAUCUGAGUUCUACUCUCUGUAUACUGAUUAGGGGAGUAGGAAAAUCUGUGUUGGUAGGCAACAUCAAUAUUUGGAUUUGUCGACUAGAAACUAUCCUUCUGUGGCAGCAACAAUUAAAAAAUCUUCAAAUGAACAAGCAAGUCAACAAUGGACUUACACUUAGCGAUCUCCCUCUCCAUAUGCUGAAUAACAUCUUGUACAGGUUCUCUGAUGGCUGGGACAUUAUUACUCUGGGUCAAGUGACCCCAACUUUGUACAUGCUUAGUGAAGACAGACAGUUGUGGAAAAAACUCUGCCAAUACCAUUUUGCAGAAAAACAGCUGGGGAGGAAUACCUGUUGUGUAGCAGCUAAUCUUUACAUGAAGAUUAAGUUGUCAAGAAGUACAUCAAUCGCUAACUAUUGCUAUCCUUCUAGAAAGAUCCCAACCAAAUGUGAAAAACAAAUUUUUGUAGGCAUUUGAUUCCAUCAGAGAAAGGUCACAUUGACUGGAAGCUGAUGUACUUUGCACUUCAGAAAUAUUACCCAAUAAAGGAACAGUACGGGGACACCUUACAUUUCUGUCGACACUGUAGCAUUCUGUUUUGGAAGGACUACCACCUUGCUUUGUUACUCCAGGAUACAGGACACCCCUGCACAGCCAGCGAUCCAAACACCUGUCUCAUGCCAGUAUCUCCUCAGCAUUUCAUUGAUCUCUUCAAAUUUUGAGAUGUUCAGUAGCUGUUCUCCUGUGUUUGUGGCCAUUUUGUGAAGAGUCAGGCAGGAUAUGUUAUGCUUUUUGUGCAAUAUAUUUAAGUGUAAUGUUUUAUUGUGGUUUAAAAAAAUUAAUGGAGGAGAUUAUCAGAGGGGUUCAUUUGGCAUAUUGCUUUUGUGCAGAAUAGAGAGGAAGAAAGGAGAAACACGAAGAAAAUUUCAUUGUCAGGAAAUCUCCAGUGGACUUUUUUUCAAGUCCAAGAAAGAUCACUUUAAUCUCAACUUUAAAUCCAUGCUUUUGACGCCUUAAUAGUUGGUUAAAAUUAUGUAGGGGAGUUUUGAAAAUUUCAUGGAGGAAUUAAACUACUCUUGCAGGGACCAAAGGAGGGUUUUUUUGUUAAUCCUUCUUUCUAUAAGCCAUGGUUUUCAAAACACCUCCAUAUAAUUUGCACUAUUAUAAAGAAUAGGCCAAUAUUCUCUUAGACUCUUACUACAACAUUAUGAAGGUGGCAUUAUCUAUUAUGAGCUAGUGAGUAAAAUAUAACUGAAGUUAUAUCUGCUGUUGAACCUAUAUGAAUGAAGGAAAUCAACCAAUUUUUGUACAUACAUUAUGCAAAAAUAUUUAUUUUUCUUAAGGACUUUAUUAAGCAUUUAACCUAUCUUAGCACAUCUUGCAGAACUCGUGAGACCAAUCUGGGGCUACUGGAAUUCUUUCUGAUGUAGCUACAGCCUUCAUUUAUACUGUUUGGAAUGUCUACAAGUGCAACUGCAUUAAUUCAUCUUCUAAGAAGAAGACAUUAUUGAAAUUUAAUGAGGAUGUAGUUGCUUGUUUCUAGACUGGUACAGUGGCAGAACAUUAUGCUACCAACUGAGGUUCUAACCUGACAGGCUAUGAGAAACACUGAAAGUCAGUCUGAGCUGGAGCAUCUUCUGCCAAGUUAAUCAGAUGAUAAAUUCUCCAGGAAGCUAUUUUGUUCUAUCUUGUAGAAAAAAAAUAAAUUGCUUGGCUUAAGCAGGUAAAGGAAAAAUUAUGGAAGUUUUGGAUUUGUCAAUGAAAUUUAACAAUAUGUAAUGUACAGAAAAAAUAAAUCAUGUACCAUAUUCUGCACUUGCUUGUUCUGAAUCCAGUUUGUACAGUGUAAUAAAUCAUGUUUUUAUCUGUUAUUCCUAGAAGCCUCUGGUACAUAGAGGUGAAUCAAUUUGAAUUUUGUAAGAUCUCUCUGUAACAUGUCUAUAAUAAUUGGUAAUGGAAUGAGAAGCAUACAAGCAGUCCUAGUGCUAUUGCUUUACAGUAGUUUGCUGUAUUAGGCCUUUUUGUAAUACCAGAGCUAGGCUGUUUUUUGGCUACACAAGAAGAGGAGAAUAUUUAUGUCCACAAGAAAUAGUUUUAUGUUAACUUGAAUCUUGGUAAUUGAAUUGCUGAUUUUGUGGCUUUUUCAAUAUAGGGUUUUGUGGAUUUUUUUUCUUUCAAUUCAGGUGUGGAUCCCAGGACCUCCAUUCUUAUUCCUGUUCAUUCAGAGUAUUGCUGCAAGCCUUGCUUUCUCAGCCAAGCACUGCUGUAUCCACUGGAUUUGUUAAGGAGCCAGCAGUCCUUCUUUAACAACAAUUUGUAUCCCAUUUAUUUAAUUCCUGUAGCAGCUCAGAUGUUUUCCUGUCUCUAUGACCUUUGUAACCCUGACGGUAGCUGGUGAUGGCUGACAUCCACUAAUCACUCCUUUACCAUGGCUACAGUUUUGCUGUCCUGCAUAAAACUUCCUGUAAAUAUAUGGAUGCUUUCUCUGAGAGCUUGAAAGAAAGGUUUUAAAACCAGUAUUUGGUUUAAUGCUGCUGUCCUGAGAGCUGCCCAGUGCUGAAAAGACAAAUAAGGUGACAGCUGGAAAAAGGUAUUAAGAGAGCUGAGAAGAAACCUCUCUCCUAGCCACUGAAUUGAAGAGGGAGAGAAAUGACUUUAAGGUCUUAUAAGCCAUCGUAAGAUCAGUUUGGAAAAAAAUCAGUAUCUGUAAUAACUAAUUUUCUGUUCUCUUAGAAAUGCCAGGUGACAGCAGCUAGGCUUACUCUCUCUUUCCCUUUCACUGCUUCUUAUCUUGCUCUUCCUGCAGUAGCACAAAAAGCCUUUGACAGCCUGAAGGUUAAGUUCUGAAAUACGUUAAGAUCCCGUGUGUGGAUUUCCAUUUAGGAGUACCACGGUGUCCCAUUGGGCUGAGGUGGCAGGAGCUAAGAUGACAAGAAGCAGAACUCUGCUUUGUAUUUAAAUGGCUUCAUUCUGUUCUCACAAGUUAAUUGAGGGUGGAAGUGACCCAGCUGAAGCAGUUAGCUAGAGCUUGUUCUCUAGGACUUUGUCCAGAACUGUGUCCGAAUGGCUUUUUUAUCUCCAGGGAGGGAGACUCUACAGCCUCUCUGGGCAACCUGUGCUAGUGUUUGGUUACCCUCACAAUAACUGCAUUUCCUGAUGUUCAGAUAACACCUCCUCUGUUCCACUUUGUGCUUCUUGCCUCUGGUCCUUUACACUGUCAAGAGCCUGGCUUCCUUCUCCUCCCUUCAGGUACUGCUAGAUGAUGAGAUCCACCUGAGCCUUAUCUUCUCCAGACUGAACACUUCCAGUUCAGCUUUUUCUCACAGGACAGAUGCUCCAGUCAUCUUUUCUUUACACUUUUAUCAUCUUUCUGACCCUUCACUUGAGUCCCUGUAGUAGGUCCAUGUAACACACUAACUUUAUUUGUGUCAAGGGCACAUUGCUUGACUCAUGUGCAACUUGGAUCACCCACCCCAAAGCCAGUAUGGUAACUCUUUAAACAUUUCUUCUGGAUUAAGAAAAGAAAAAAAAAUUAGAGAUGCUGAGUAUUCCAGUUCAGGAUACUUUUUUUUAAACAUCUUAAACACUGACUGUGGAAUCACAUUGUCAUGAGCAGUGUUAAAAGCUUUUAACACUUGCAAAACUGAGCUUCGGGAAAAGUUCCAGAAACUCCUUAAGUAUUUAGUGAAUACAUUGCUUAGACUAGGCAAAUAAGAGCUUGAUUGAGAGUGACUAUGUGAUGUGAAGUCACCAGAUGCGUAAGAAGGUAACUUUCAGUUGUGUUACAUAAGUAAAAAAGCUAAGGCAGUGAUUUCAGUAAUAGCAUUGGUAGUGUUUGGGUUUUUGUGUUGGUCUGUUGGUCCUGAGAAUACCUUUCAAAGGCAAUCGGGAUGUUCUCUGCUGUAGUCCACAAGAGCCUGAAAUUACAAUUUUUAAGACCAAGCUCUCCCUUCCCACUCCCCAGUCACUGCCUCCCAGCCCCUAAUCUGAGAGACUCCUGGCCUUUUUUAUUACAUUCUCUCCCACCACUUUUGUUCACCUAUUUCUGGGAAAACUCUGCCAUGGACUUUCUCCAAGAGCACUGUGUGAGCUUUUCUCUUUGGAUGUCAGACAAGACUGGGACUCUUAUCUGGAAAUAACAGAGGAGUGGGACCUUGCUCUUUCUUUCUCCCUGUUGUCCAUCCUUGAGAAAUGAAUUAAGUUGCUUUAGGAGAAGGAAGAACCAGAACUUCAAGAAAACACUAAGCUCAAAGCAAGAGUUCUCCACUAGGAUUAGCAGUGAAAGACCAGUGGCUUUCUACAGUCUAGAAGGCAGAAGCAAUGAGGGCUGAGCAAGAAUGAAAGGAUGGGAUGGGGAACAGUAGAACAACAUUUUGGAUUUCAUGGUGCACAAAUUAGCAUAUUUACAGCUCCAUCAUUGGCAAAGAACUUAGAGGAAGGCUAGACACUUAAUAUCCAACUAAAGUUGGUUGAAUUGGCAGAGAUAGAAAUCUGCAUUAAAUCAAUAUCAAAUGUUUGGGGAGAGUUGGUAAAUUAGAGUUCAGAAUAUUGAAACAUUAGCUAAUUAUGCUAUUCACUUGCAGUAUUUUUAUACUUCCAUCUCCAAGGCUCAGGUCCAACCCCUCAGAGUAACUAGAACAUAAUUCCCAGCAAAAAUUCCUAUGAAGUUCAGUAGGAUGAGGGUGACCUUUAAUGAUUAAAAUGUCUCUGUUUAAGGACAUGACAGAAAAGUGGAUCAGAACAUGAGAUGUAAGGGUGGGUUUCUUCCAUUCAAUUCCCAUGGCCAUCCUCUGUGCCACACACAGACCUGUCCCUCUACCUGUCAGACAUACUGGUAUUGCUUAUUUCCUGCAGGUUUAUGUGUACAUUAUUCUACAAAUAUGAAUAAAACAUGUUCAGUUUUA
This is an RNA transcript of Parus major (Great Tit), 5494 nucleotides long. It is a transcript of the gene named F-box protein 25, with no coding region annotated. The transcript has 12 exons. The record is from RefSeq and is a predicted model, not a curated record. NCBI's taxonomy places the organism in Eukaryota, Metazoa, Chordata, Aves, Passeriformes, Paridae.